AUCUUAUUGGCAGACAAAUGCAUUAGAAUUAGAAUCUAAAUAAACUAAAAUACUAUC
RNAcentral lists this transfer RNA (57 nucleotides) under Phoneutria boliviensis. RNAcentral describes it as "tRNA-Leu". The record is from RNAcentral. Lineage: Eukaryota; Metazoa; Arthropoda; Arachnida; Araneae; Ctenidae.